This 351-nucleotide ribosomal RNA is filed under the name Triticum aestivum (bread wheat). Its description in RNAcentral is "partial small subunit ribosomal RNA". The record is from RNAcentral. Lineage: Eukaryota; Viridiplantae; Streptophyta; Magnoliopsida; Poales; Poaceae.
AUGGAGCCGCAUAUCUUCAAAUCUUUAGCUAAUUAUCUUCGAAGGGAGAAGUUGGUGAAAGAUACCAGAAUUAAAGUCGAAGAGAAACUAGCAUCAUUUUUGUGGAUGUUGUCCCAUAAUUCUUCAUUUGAAGACCUUCAAGUUCGGUUUGGUCACAGCGGGGAUACUUUCCAUUGGCAAAUGAAGAAUUUCUUUGACAUCAUCCCUAUUCUCUCCAAGCAUUUUUUGAAGCCUCCAAAUCCCAGUCAAGUGCAUCCGAAGAUUCAGUCGGACACGAGAUUCUUUCCUUAUUUUCAGGUUUUUGCUUCGCCAACUUUGAUCCACAUCAAUAACUUACUAUUCAUGUUAUAG